UUAAGUGACUAAGCGUACACGGUGGAUGCCUUGGCAGUCAGAGGCGAUGAAAGACGUAGUAACUUGCGAUAAGCCCAGAUUAGGUAGUAACAACCAUUUGAGUCUGGGAUUUCUGAAUGGGGAAACCCACGUGCAUAAGCACGUAUCCUUACCUGAAUACAUAGGGUAAGGAGGCGAACCGGGGGAACUGAAACAUCUAAGUACCCCGAGGAAAAGAAAUCAACCGAGAUUCCGAAAGUAGCGGCGAGCGAAAUUGGACUAGCCCUUAAGCUUUACACGCGUUAGACGAACGGUCUGGAAAGUCCGACGAUACAGGGUGAUAGUCCCGUAGUUGACGACGUGUGUUCAGUGAAAUCGAGUAGGGCGGGACACGUGAUAUCCUGUCUGAAUAUGGGGGGACCAUCCUCCAAGGCUAAAUACUACUGACUGACCGAUAGUGAACCAGUACCGUGAGGGAAAGGCGAAAAGAACCCCUGUGAGGGGAGUGAAAUAGAACCUGAAACCGUGUACGUACAAGCAGUAGGAGCAGGCUUUGUCCUGUGACUGCGUACCUUUUGUAUAAUGGGUCAGCGACUUAUAUUCAGUGGCAAGGUUAACCAUCUAGGGGAGCCGUAGGGAAACCGAGUCUUAACUGGGCGUUCAGUCUCUGGAUAUAGACCCGAAACCAGGUGAUCUAGCCAUGGGCAGGUUGAAGGUUGAGUAACAUCAACUGGAGGACCGAACCGACUAAUGUUGAAAAAUUAGCGGAUGACUUGUGGCUAGGGGUGAAAGGCCAAUCAAACCUGGAGAUAGCUGGUUCUCCCCGAAAGCUAUUUAGGUAGCGCCUCGGACGAAUACUACUGGGGGUAGAGCACUGUUAAGGCUAGGGGGUCAUCCCGACUUACCAACCCUUUGCAAACUCCGAAUACCAGUAAGUACUAUCCGGGAGACACACGGCGGGUGCUAACGUCCGUCGUGGAGAGGGAAACAACCCAGACCGCCAGCUAAGGUCCCAAAUUACUACUAAGUGGGAAACGAUGUGGGAAGGCUCAGACAGCCAGGAUGUUGGCUUAGAAGCAGCCAUCAUUUAAAGAAAGCGUAAUAGCUCACUGGUCGAGUCGGCCUGCGCGGAAGAUGUAACGGGGCUAAGUAGUAAACCGAAGCUGCGGCAAUAUACUUUUGUAUAUUGGGUAGGGGAGCGUUCUGUAAGCGGUUGAAGGUGUGUGGUAACGCAUGCUGGACGUAUCAGAAGUGCGAAUGCUGACAUGAGUAACGAUAAAGGGGGUGAAAAACCUCCUCGCCGGAAGACCAAGGGUUCCUGUCCAACGUUAAUCGGGGCAGGGUAAGUCGACCCCUAAGGCGAGGCCGAAAGGCGUAGUCGAUGGGAAACGGGUUAAUAUUCCCGUACUUCUUACAAUUGCGAUGGGGGGACGGAGAAGGCUAGGUGGGCCUGGCGACGGUUGUCCAGGUUCAAGUGCGUAGGCUUGAGAGUUAGGUAAAUCCGGCUCUCUUUAAGGCUGAGACACGACGUCGAGCAUCUACGGAUGUGAAGUCAUUGAUGCCAUGCUUCCAGGAAAAGCCUCUAAGCUUCAGAUUGUAAGGAAUCGUACCCCAAACCGACACAGGUGGUCGGGUAGAGAAUACCAAGGCGCUUGAGAGAACUCGGGUGAAGGAACUAGGCAAAAUGGUACCGUAACUUCGGGAGAAGGUACGCUCUUGAUGGUGAAGUCCCUCGCGGAUGGAGCUGACGAGAGUCGCAGAUACCAGGUGGCUGCAACUGUUUAUUAAAAACACAGCACUGUGCAAAAUCGUAAGAUGACGUAUACGGUGUGACGCCUGCCCGGUGCCGGAAGGUUAAUUGAUGGGGUUAGACUUCGGUCGAAGCUCUUGAUCGAAGCCCCGGUAAACGGCGGCCGUAACUAUAACGGUCCUAAGGUAGCGAAAUUCCUUGUCGGGUAAGUUCCGACCUGCACGAAUGGCGUAAUGAUGGCCACGCUGUCUCCACCCGAGACUCAGUGAAAUUGAAAUCGCUGUGAAGAUGCAGUGUACCCGCGGCUAGACGGAAAGACCCCGUGAACCUUUACUACAGCUUGGCACUGAACAUUGACCCUACAUGUGUAGGAUAGGUGGGAGGCUUUGAAGCACGUACGCCAGUAUGUGUGGAGCCGUCCUUGAAAUACCACCCUUGUAGUGUUGAUGUUCUAACGUCGACCCCUUAUCGGGGUUGCGGACAGUGCCUGGUGGGUAGUUUGACUGGGGCGGUCUCCUCCCAAAGAGUAACGGAGGAGCACGAAGGUGGGCUAAUCACGGUUGGACAUCGUGAGGUUAGUGCAAUGGCAUAAGCCCGCUUGACUGCGAGAAUGACAAUUCGAGCAGGUGCGAAAGCAGGUCAUAGUGAUCCGGUGGUUCUGAAUGGAAGGGCCAUCGCUCAACGGAUAAAAGGUACUCCGGGGAUAACAGGCUGAUACCGCCCAAGAGUUCAUAUCGACGGCGGUGUUUGGCACCUCGAUGUCGGCUCAUCACAUCCUGGGGCUGAAGUCGGUCCCAAGGGUAUGGCUGUUCGCCAUUUAAAGUGGUACGCGAGCUGGGUUUAGAACGUCGUGAGACAGUUCGGUCCCUAUCUGCCGUGGGCGUUGGAAGAUUGAAGGGGGCUGCUCCUAGUACGAGAGGACCGGAGUGGACGAACCUCUGGUGUUCGGGUUGUGUCGCCAGACGCAUUGCCCGGUAGCUAAGUUCGGAAUCGAUAACCGCUGAAAGCAUCUAAGCGGGAAGCGAGCCCUGAGAUGAGUCUUCCCUGAUACUUUAAGUAUCCUAAAGGGUUGUCGGAGACUACGACGUUGAUAGGUCAGGUGUGUAAGUGCUGUGAGGCAUUGAGCUAACUGAUACUAAUUGCCCGUGAGGCUUAACCAU
This 2889-nucleotide ribosomal RNA is filed under the name Vibrio parahaemolyticus. Its description in RNAcentral is "bacterial LSU rRNA". It matches the Rfam family "Bacterial large subunit ribosomal RNA". The record is from RNAcentral. Lineage: Bacteria; Pseudomonadati; Pseudomonadota; Gammaproteobacteria; Vibrionales; Vibrionaceae.